Molecule: long non-coding RNA, 1283 nt
Organism: Nicotiana tabacum (common tobacco)
Lineage: Eukaryota; Viridiplantae; Streptophyta; Magnoliopsida; Solanales; Solanaceae
Source: RefSeq, a predicted model, not a curated record
UUGAUUUUGUGGGUCUUGGACUAAAGCAGUAAGCUUUCUUGAAGCAAAACACACAUUGAUGAAAGAAAUCAAUAGAAAGAGUUUUAAAAUGAAAUGGGUCGAUUUCAAACCGAAGGAAGAAGACAUUGUUUUUUCUUUUAGGUACUUAGUAUAUGUUUUUGAAGGCUAUAGUGAGAAACUAAUGCUUUGAUGGAAGUUUUGUGUGUUGUACGUAGCUUGGAUGAAAUGCAAGGGAAGAGAGGAGGGCUAUUUAUACAACAGGGAGAGGGUGUACCGUUUGUAAUGAAGCUGCUGAGAAAGCAGGAAGGGAAUGUGGAAUAGUAGAAAAGUGACUUUAAAAAAAGCGCGUUAUCAUUUUCACUAACUGGAGCUAGCUGCUAUGCAACACAAGAGAGGUAAUCUUUACUGCUUGACUUAUGGGUUACUAUUCUCGCGGCUCAUCAUUGACUUCACUGAACUAGUUUCUUGACAGAAGAUUAGAGCAAAACAAAACAAUGUACUUAUGCUAAUUUGACCCUUCAGAUCCAAAUCCUCCUCUGCCGAGCUAUGUGCCUGAAGGUUCUUUUAUUGUCAGAGCACAUACACCCAUGUCAAAUCUGUUUUCUUGCCUCUGGUUCAAUGAAGUUGACCGAUUUACUUCACGUGACCAACUAAGCUUCGCGUAUACAUUCCUAAAACUGAAGAGAAUGAAUCCAGACAAACCAUUCCAUUUAAAUAUGUUUAAGGAUUGUGAGCGUAGGUCACUGGUGAAGUUAUUUCAUCACAUAGAGCCAUCCUCUCCACCUCCUCCAAGAAUAAGUUGAUAUUCUUCAUUUUUUACAUGGACUUGGUAAACUGAACCUCUUGCUCAUCCCACUUGAACUAAUUUUCAGUUUGAAGAUGAACUGAUGCAUUUCAUUGACAACUAGAUAUUAUACAUAUUAGGAUGCGGAAUUAGUUCAGGCUCUACUGAGUAGGUGAUAGAACUUCCAUUGAAUACCUUUGGUUUGUCAUUUUGGCCCCAGAGAAUGGGCACUAACUCACUGAUCUGCCUUUGAGCCACCCUCUUCAUGUGAUUGAGGAAGGAGUAGUAAGCUCGUGAGGUGUCACUGCAGCUUGAGUUAUCAUUACUGUUGGAUAUUUUCUGAGACUACUUGUGGGUUCAGAUCCUAACAAGUUCUGCAGAGGCUUGUAAAAAUGUAUUUAACUGUAGUAGAGACUCCACUGAGGAGCGCGGACCAUCUCAUCUGAAACUCUUGUACAAUCUUUAAUCAAUUUAAGUUAUAGGUUCGAUUUUUAAUCAA